AAAAUCCGGCAGCGUAAUUCAAGGGUGUGCGACGAGUGGCCUUGUGCCGCGAAGCAAUCGGAAGUGGUUCCAAGAAAAGCCUCUAAGCUUCAGUCUAACGAGACCGUACCGCAAACCGACACAGGUGGGCGAGAUGAGUAUUCUAAGGCGCUUGAGAGAACUCGGGAGAAGGAACUCGGCAAAUUGGUACCGUAACUUCGGGAUAAGGUACGCCCUUGUAGUUUGACUGGCCUGCGCCAGAAGGACGAAGGGGUUGCAAUAAAUUGGUGGCUGCGACUGUUUAAUAAAAACACAGCACUCUGCAAACACGAAAGUGGACGUAUAGGGUGUGACUCCUGCCCGGUGCUGGAAGAUUAAAUGAUGGGGUGCAAGCUCUUGAUUGAAGUCCCAGUAAACGGCGGCCGUAACAAUAACGGUCCUAAGGUAGCGAAAUUCCUUGUCGGGUAAGUUCCGACCUGCACGAAUGGAGUAACGAUGGCCACACUGUCUCCUCCCGAGACUCAGCGAAGUUGAAAUGUUUGUGAUGAUGCAAUCUACCCGCGGCUAGACGGAAAGACCCCAUGAACCUUUACUGUAGCUUUGCAUUGGACUUUGAACCAAUCUGUGUAGGAUAGGUGGGAGGCUUUGAAGCGGGGACGCCAGUUCUCGUGGAGCCAUCCUUGAAAUACCACCCUGGUUUGUUUGAGGUUCUAACCUUGGUCCGUUAUCCGGAUCGGGGACAGUGCAUGGUAGGCAGUUUGACUGGGGCGGUCUCCUCCCAAAGUGUAACGGAGGAGUUCGAAGGUACGCUAAUUACGGUCGGACAUCGUGAUGAUAGUGCAAUGGCAUAAGCGUGCUUAACUGCGAGACUGACAAGUCGAGCAGGUACGAAAGUAGGACAUAGUGAUCCGGUGGUUCUGUAUGGAAGGGCCAUCGCUCAACGGAUAAAAGGUACUCUGGGGAUAACAGGCUGAUUCCUCCCAAGAGUUCAUAUCGACGGGGGAGUUUGGCACCUCGAUGUCGGCUCAUCACAUCCUGGGGCUGUAGCCGGUCCCAAGGGUAUGGCUGUUCGCCAUUUAAAGUGGUACGUGAGCUGGGUUUAAAACGUCGUGAGACAGUUUGGUCCCUAUCUGCCGUGGGCGUUGGAAAUUUGAAGGGGGCUGCUCCUAGUACGAGAGGACCGGAGUGGACGAACCUCUGGUGUACCGGUUGUCACGCCAGUGGCAUUGCCGGGUAGCUAAGUUCGGAAGAGAUAACCGCUGAAAGCAUCUAAGCGGGAAACUUGCCUUGAGAUGAGAUUUCCCAGAGCCUUGAGCUCUUUAAAGGGUCGUUCGAGACCAGGACGUUGAUAGGCUGGGUGUGGAAGUGAAAAAAAACAA
Molecule: ribosomal RNA, 1358 nt
Filed under: metagenome
Description: bacterial LSU rRNA
Rfam family: Bacterial large subunit ribosomal RNA
Source: RNAcentral